This 223-nucleotide ribosomal RNA is filed under the name uncultured prokaryote. Its description in RNAcentral is "partial 16S ribosomal RNA". It matches the Rfam family "Bacterial small subunit ribosomal RNA", at positions 524 to 746 of the family's 1533-position model. The record is from RNAcentral.
GACAGAGGAUGCAAGCGUUAUCCGGAAUGAUUGGGCGUAAAGCGUCUGUAGGUGGCUUUUUAAGUCUGCCGUCAAAUCCCAGGGCUCAACCCUGGACAGGCGGUGGAAACUACCAAGCUAGAGUGCGGAAGGGGCUACUGGAAUUCUCGGUGUAGCGGUGAAAUGCGUAGAUAUCGAGAGGAACACCUGCGGCGAAGGCGGGUAGCUGGGCCGACACUGACGC